Molecule: ribosomal RNA, 506 nt
Filed under: uncultured bacterium
Lineage: Bacteria
Description: partial 16S ribosomal RNA
Source: RNAcentral
GGAGUUAGCCGGUGCUUCUUCUGUGAGUGAUGUCCUUCCUGCCGGCUAUUAACCCGCAGGCCUUCUUCCUCACUGAAAGUGCUUUACAACCCGAAGGCCUUCUUCACACACGCGGCAUGGCUGGAUCAGGGUUGCCCCCAUUGUCCAAUAUUCCCCACUGCUGCCUCCCGUAGGAGUCUGGGCCGUGUCUCAGUCCCAGUGUGGCUGAUCAUCCUCUCAGACCAGCUACGGAUCGUCGCCUUGGUGAGCCGUUACCUCACCAACCAGCUAAUCCGACAUAGGCUCAUCCGAUAGCGCGAGGCCCGAAGGUCCCCCGCUUUCCCCCGUAGGGCGUAUGCGGUAUUAGCCUGGGUUUCCCCAGGUUAUCCCCCACUACCGGGCAGAUUCCUAUGCAUUACUCACCCGUCCGCCGCUCGCCACCAGGGAGCAAGCUCCCCGUGCUGCCGCUCGACUUGCAUGUGUAGCUCGCCGCCACGCGUCAUCUGAACCAAGAUACAACUACUCGA